GAUGAACGCUGGCGGCGUGCCUAACACAUGCAAGUUGAGCGAGAAAUCACUUAAAGAAGCUUCGGUAGACUUAAGAGAUGGAGAGCAGCGGACGGGUGAGUAACGCGUGGGAAACCUGCCCUUGACAGGAGGAUAGCCGAGAGAAAUUUCGAUUAAUACUUCAUAAAGCAGAGCAUUCGCAUGGAUGAACUGCCAAAGAAUUAUCGGUCAAGGAUGGUCCCGCGUCUGAUUAGCUGGUUGGUAAGGUAGCGGCUUACCAAGGCGGCGAUCAGUAGCCGGCCUGAGAGGGUGAACGGCCACAUUGGAACUGAGACACGGUCCAGACUCCUACGGGAGGCAGCAGUGGGGAAUAUUGCACAAUGGGCGAAAGCCUGAUGCAGCAACGCCGCGUGAAGGAAGAAGGCUUUCGAGUCGUAAACUUCUGUCCAAAGGGAAGAAGAAUGACGGUACCUUUGAAGAAAGCCCCGGCUAACUACGUGCCAGCAGCCGCGGUAAUACGUAGGGGGCGAGCGUUAUCCGGAAUUACUGGGCGUAAAGAGUAUGUAGGUGGUUAAGUAAGCGUAGGGUUUAAGGCGACAGCCCAACUGUCGUAUGCCCCGCGAACUGUUUAACUUGAGUACAGGAGGGGAAGGCGGAAUUCCUAGUGUAGCGGUGAAAUGCGUAGAUAUUAGGAGGAACACCAGUGGCGAAGGCGGCCUUCUGGACUGUAACUGACACUGAGAUACGAAAGCGUGGGUAGCAAACAGG
RNAcentral lists this ribosomal RNA (747 nucleotides) under uncultured bacterium. Its description in RNAcentral is "bacterial SSU rRNA". It matches the Rfam family "Bacterial small subunit ribosomal RNA", at positions 28 to 776 of the family's 1533-position model. The record is from RNAcentral.